This is a non-coding RNA of Paramuricea clavata, 388 nucleotides long. The record is from the annotation of a GenBank genome assembly. NCBI's taxonomy places the organism in Eukaryota, Metazoa, Cnidaria, Anthozoa, Malacalcyonacea, Plexauridae.
CCUUCUAGACUUUUAACGAUGAAACAAGAUUAUUUGACUUUCCAAUUCAAAUCAAUAAAAACUAUCAUUUUGUUCGUUUGUCAGACGUGUAUUGUUCAGUUAAUUUCCAAGUAGACAAUCCUCAGAAGAAAAAUUAUUAUGAUCUCGUCAAAACAAAAAUCGCGCGCCUUUGAGUUUGCCUUCGACUUUCAAAUGCUCCCAGUAUAAAUUUAGGCCAGCAAAAACUAGUUCCACACUUGUCCAGAGUGUUGUUCUUGUAAAUUAGCCACAAAAUAUCCACAUGAAAUUCCCUUGCCGAUCGAGAUCACGAGUUGUUUUAAUACAACAACAAAUGUUGCGAAGGUUUGAAGAUACCCGCCAUUGAACGUUUUGAAAAUUAGUUCGAAAA